Molecule: long non-coding RNA, 684 nt
Organism: Schistocerca americana (American grasshopper)
Lineage: Eukaryota; Metazoa; Arthropoda; Insecta; Orthoptera; Acrididae
Exons: 3
Source: RefSeq, a predicted model, not a curated record
UUAACCAUACGUAGAAAACGACGUAACUCAUGGAAGUCCUGAGGCCGAGGUAGUUGCAUAAUGAGCUCAGGACAGUCAAGAGGAAUGCCUGGUUGCUCCACUGUUGGGUGCAAAAACCAAAGUGAAGAUGGAUAUAUGAUGCUUGUUUUCCCAAGAAAUGAAGAAAGACGUAAACAGUGGGCAGUGAAAGUCAACCAAGAAGGCAGGAAUCAUAAAGGCGACUUAUGGAAACCAACAAAUUAUUCCUUUCUGUGUGAAAUAUCCUCCACGUCCUACAUCCAUGCGAAUGCCUCACAGUAUUGGAUUUAUUGGAUAUAAAUAAAUAAAUACUGUGCAGGAAUUGGGUUUCCUGUGCAAUGUCAACAUGAACAGUCUCAAAUCUGUUUUAAGUGCUAACAGAAAAGGAAAUAACCAGGAAAAGGUACCCACAAUGGAACUAAGGCCUCACAGACAAGAUCCAUUGACUUAGAAAGUGACAAAAUCAAAAAACAUGACUACAAGUGAAUAUUUAACAAAUAAUUGAAUAUUAAGUGUAUGUUGUUCGUGAGUGCAAUGUGAGGAUGUCUGAUUGUUAGCCCAGAAGUCCAUUUGUCAAUUGAUGUAUGUCUUAGGGAUCAUGUUCAUUUGACCAAAAAAAUAAAGAAAGCUCAAAAACUCUCACUUACACAAAAAUGCAGACCAGUG